RNAcentral lists this unclassified non-coding RNA (518 nucleotides) under Hevea brasiliensis (rubber tree). The record is from RNAcentral. Lineage: Eukaryota; Viridiplantae; Streptophyta; Magnoliopsida; Malpighiales; Euphorbiaceae.
GUUUGGUCUCACAUGGGUUUGGAUCAAGUGCGUCGAGUUGAUGGAGAUUCUUUUAAGGCGUGGCUUUUGGUGUAGUGAAGCUUUUGUGCACUAAUCUUACCUGUUUUGCUACGUUGUGUUGUGAUAUCUGGUAUGCACGAAACCAUGAGAAUUUGGGGUUGUGAAUUGGGAUGUGGCUGCUGCCGAGGCCUUAGCAAUGGCUUACGGGUUGCGAUUGAUUGUUGAUUUGAGCUUUCACCAUCUUGUUGGUGAGUCAGAUGGUAAGUUUUUAAUUGAAAAAUUGAAGGGUGGGGAGCACUUAAAUUGAAGAGGUUGCUCUAGAUGACUGUUUCUUCUUCCAGCAAAUGUUGCUGCACUGGAGAAGAUGUUCCAGACUCUUUCAAGCAUUUUGCAUCAAUUGAUGCUUCUGUUUCUGUUUAUUCUGUUUCUUGAAGACGGAUUUUUUUGGCAAUAUAUGGCUUCCCAAAUAGCUUAUAUAGUUGGAAUUUGAAAAAAUGGUUUGAUCUGCAUCUUUUAUA